AUUUUCUCUAAAGAAGCCUCAAAGAAGGAAAACAAAUUCUUCCCCAACUUGGAACCCUAGAAAUCGCCCCCAAAAUCCCAACUGAAGUCUUGAAUUUCAUUUCGGAUUGUUUGUGUUUAACGGUUUUUGACAUUCUAUUCCUCCCACAGAUUGCCCGCAACAUUACAACAGAGGAGCUGGAGGCGAUUCAAAAACCCAUACGAUCAUGGCUGCAAGAAAACUUGUUUAGAAUUCUUGAUAAAUGGAUACAAUGUAGACGUGGAGUAUUAUGAAGAAUCAACGCUUUUCUUGUUAUGGCUAAGAUGCUGGUGUCAACGGAUGUCUUCUACAGGAAAGAAAGACCACCUCUUACAUUUUCUUUACUGGUUCAGUUUUUCCUUUUAGCAUUGGUUGGGUAAGAAUGUGGGAUUCUUAAAUUCUUUGAAUUUUCAUUUCUCUAAUAUCUUCAUUUUCUCAUAUUUUGUUGUGUUUUUGGCUCUACCAGAAAAUAGGUUUUCAUUUGUUAUGGGAUUUUAUCGAUUGUGGCCCAGUUGGACUGAUUUAAUGUUUGUUACCUGCCACGUCAAAUUUCCGUCCAACAAGGGGCACAUUCCGUUCAUUGAAGUUGACAGAAAUUAAAUGGGUGAUGGAUGUGUAAGUAUUUGGAGAGAUGAGUGAGUAACGGGUUAUAUUUUAUAGGUCGUUAAGCAAGUAGUAAUGUAGAUUGAAGUUGAGUGAGCAUUGAUUAAAUUUACUCUUCCCUUUCCACUCCUUUUCCUCUCCUCUCGUCUCUGCCGAUUGCCAACGACGGAACGACCGGACCAAAAUCCAAAUCAAUUUCUCUUAGAAUUUCUGCAAAUGCAAAAGAAGAAAACGCGAGGAACGAUUAUCCACGACCCAAAUCGCAAAGCCAAACCCUAACCUCGCAAUCAAUUUCGAACCUCCAUCGACAGCUUCCCAAAAUCUGAUUUUCGAGUUGCCAGUCUCACCGCACGGCGCACGUAGGUUAAAGAAAUCUGAUUUACUGUGUUUCUCCUUGUUAUUCAUUCGGCUCCUGUGCUCCGUCUUGGUGAUUGCAAGUUGCUUUUUUUUUUUUUUUUUUUAAUAAUCUUGUUCAAUGAAUAAUGUGCAUCACUGGGAUUUGGUUUAUGUUGUUUAUUAUACAUCUUUCUUAGUCAUGGCAACAAACUG
RNAcentral lists this long non-coding RNA (1170 nucleotides) under Olea europaea subsp. europaea. The record is from RNAcentral. Lineage: Eukaryota; Viridiplantae; Streptophyta; Magnoliopsida; Lamiales; Oleaceae.